RNAcentral lists this unclassified non-coding RNA (90 nucleotides) under Pseudomonas jessenii. The record is from RNAcentral. Lineage: Bacteria; Pseudomonadati; Pseudomonadota; Gammaproteobacteria; Pseudomonadales; Pseudomonadaceae.
UGUGGGAGCGAACUUGCUCGCGAUGGCGUCAUUUCAGGCAACUACGAUGCUGGCUGUGAAAAUGUCAUCGCGAGCAAGCUCGCUCCCACA